UCUCGCCCCAGCUCAUCCGGCAUUGGCCGAUCAUCGACCGGUCAUCGGCCACCGCGCCAACCACUGGUCUCUGGCGACGGCACCACUGUCUGCGGUGGCCGGAGAAGAAAAAUUUUUGGAUCUGCGCCUUUCGAAACCGCUAAACCCAAAUCCAACCCCGAGACUUUCAGAAUACCGAUGCAAAAGCCUUAAAUCUUCAAGAAACCUUUCGGUUUCUGGUCGUCUGCAGCGAUCUAAGUUCCAACGGAGGUUGUCCCUUUCUUUUUUCUAUUUAUUUUCUUCGUAUAUAGAUCGAAAUAUAUGAUAAAAAACUGUAGAUUUAAAGAAAAAGAAAAAAAUAAAUGUCAACCUUAGAUCGAUUUCUGCUCUCUCGAUGUUGAACUGUCUUUUUGCUGUGAAAAUAAUUAUUUUUCUUAUUGAUUUUUUUGGAUCCUUUUUACAGUGUAUCAAUGGCUUUUUUAUAGGCAUAAUGAAAAAAUAUAAAGAAAGAAAUAAAUCUGUUCAUAUUGAUUUGAUUUUGCAAAUAUUUGAUUCUUCUUUCCAUAUACUGUUUGGUUUCUUUUCUUGACAUGCAGGUGAAGCGGGGAUGCGGCUAAGUGCGAGGCUUGUGGUUGCGGCGCUGACACUUUCCUCAGAAACCCUAGGGUUUCUGCCACUGCUUUGGGCCACUAGAUUUGGGCCUCUGUUUUACUUCAAUUUGGGCCAUGUAUUCUAGGCCAAUUGUUUUGUUUUUGGAUUUAGCUUUGUAAAAAAAAAAACUGGACUGUUUAUUAAGGGCCGGGUAAAAUUUAGGCAUUACAGUAAUGAUAUUAACUUUUUAGUGUUUAAUUCGAGUUUCA
RNAcentral lists this long non-coding RNA (839 nucleotides) under Gossypium raimondii (Peruvian cotton). RNAcentral's name for it is "long non-coding RNA (GRAI_LNC006543)". The record is from RNAcentral. Lineage: Eukaryota; Viridiplantae; Streptophyta; Magnoliopsida; Malvales; Malvaceae.